GACGAACGCUGGCGGCGUGCCUAAUACAUGCAAGUAGAACGCUGAAGCGAGGAGCUUACUCUUCUUGGAUGAGUUGCGAACGGGUGAGUAACGCGUAGGUAACCUGCCUUGUAGCGGGGGAUAACUAUUGGAAACGAUAGCUAAUACCGCAUAACAAUGGAUGACACAUGUCAUUUAUUUGAAAGGGGCAAUUGCUCCACUACAAGAUGGACCUGCGUUGUAUUAGCUAGUAGGUGAGAUAAUGGCUCACCUAGGCGACGAUACAUAGCCGACCUGAGAGGGUGAUCGGCCACACUGGGACUGAGACACGGCCCAGACGCCUACGGGAGGCAGCAGUAGGGAAUCUUCGGCAAUGGGGGCAACCCUGACCGAGCAACGCCGCGUGAGUGAAGAAGGUUUUCGGAUCGUAAAGCUCUGUUGUAAGUCAAGAACGGGUGUGAGAGUGGAAAGUUCACACUGUGACGGUAGCUGACCAGAAAGGGACGGCUAACUACGUG
Molecule: ribosomal RNA, 497 nt
Filed under: uncultured bacterium
Lineage: Bacteria
Description: partial 16S ribosomal RNA
Rfam family: Bacterial small subunit ribosomal RNA
Source: RNAcentral